GGGUUGUGAGGUUAAGCGACUAAGCGUACACGGUGGAUGCCCUGGCAGUCAGAGGCGAUGAAGGGCGUGCUAAUCUGCGAUAAGCGCCGGUAAGGUGAUAUGAACCGUUAUAACCGGCGAUACCCGAAUGGGGAAACCCAGUGUGACUCGUCACACUAUCAUUAACUGAAUCCAUAGGUUAAUGAGGCGAACCGGGGGAACUGAAACAUCUAAGUACCCCGAGGAAAAGAAAUCAACCGAGAUUCCCCCAGUAGCGGCGAGCGAACGGGGAGGAGCCCAGAGCCUGAAUCAGCAUGUGUGUUAGUGGAAGCGUCUGGAAAGGCGCGCGAUACAGGGUGACAGCCCCGUACACAAAAGCGCAUGUGCUGUGAGCUCGAUGAGUAGGGCGGGACACGUGGUAUCCUGUCUGAAUAUGGGGGACCAUCCUCCAAGGCUAAAUACUCCUGACUGACCGAUAGUGAACCAGUACCGUGAGGGAAAGGCGAAAAGAACCCCGGCGAGGGGAGUGAAAAAGAACCUGAAACCGUGUACGUACAAGCAGUGGGAGCACCCUUUGGGGUGUGACUGCGUACCUUUUGUAUAAUGGGUCAGCGACUUAUAUUCUGUAGCAAGGUUAACCGAAUAGGGGAGCCGGAGGGAAACCGAGUCUUAAUUGGGCGUUAAGUUGCAGGGUAUAGACCCGAAACCCGGUGAUCUAGCCAUGGGCAGGUUGAAGGUUGGGUAACACUAACUGGAGGACCGAACCGACUAAUGUUGAAAAAUUAGCGGAUGACCUGUGGCUGGGGGUGAAAGGCCAAUCAAACCGGGAGAUAGCUGGUUCUCCCCGAAAGCUAUUUAGGUAGCGCCUCGUGAAUUCAUCUCCGGGGGUAGAGCACUGUUUCGGCUAGGGGGCCAUCCCGGCUUACCAACCCGAUGCAAACUGCGAAUACCGGAGAAUGUUAUCACGGGAGACACACGGCGGGUGCUAACGUCCGUCGUGAAGAGGGAAACAACCCAGACCGCCAGCUAAGGUCCCAAAGUCAUGGUUAAGUGGGAAACGAUGUGGGAAGGCCCAGACAGCCAGGAUGUUGGCUUAGAAGCAGCCAUCAUUUAAAGAAAGCGUAAUAGCUCACUGGUCGAGUCGGCCUGCGCGGAAGAUGUAACGGGGCUAAACCAUGCACCGAAGCUGCGGCAGCGACACUCAGGUGUUGUUGGGUAGGGGAGCGUUCUGUAAGCCUGCGAAGGUGGCCUGUGAGGGUUGCUGGAGGUAUCAGAAGUGCGAAUGCUGACAUAAGUAACGAUAAAGCGGGUGAAAAGCCCGCUCGCCGGAAGACCAAGGGUUCCUGUCCAACGUUAAUCGGGGCAGGGUGAGUCGACCCCUAAGGCGAGGCCGAAAGGCGUAGUCGAUGGGAAACGGGUUAAUAUUCCCGUACUUGGUGUUACUGCGAAGGGGGGACGGAGAAGGCUAUGUUGGCCGGGCGACGGUUGUCCCGGUUUAAGCGUGUAGGUGUGUGUUCCAGGUAAAUCCGGUUCACUUUAACACUGAGGCGUGAUGACGAGGCACUACGGUGCUGAAGCAACAAAUGCCCUGCUUCCAGGAAAAGCCUCUAAGCAUCAGGUAACAUCAAAUCGUACCCCAAACCGACACAGGUGGUCAGGUAGAGAAUACCAAGGCGCUUGAGAGAACUCGGGUGAAGGAACUAGGCAAAAUGGUGCCGUAACUUCGGGAGAAGGCACGCUGACACGUAGGUGAAGUGAUUUACUCAUGGAGCUGAAGUCAGUCGAAGAUACCAGCUGGCUGCAACUGUUUAUUAAAAACACAGCACUGUGCAAACACGAAAGUGGACGUAUACGGUGUGACGCCUGCCCGGUGCCGGAAGGUUAAUUGAUGGGGUCAGCGCAAGCGAAGCUCCUGAUCGAAGCCCCGGUAAACGGCGGCCGUAACUAUAACGGUCCUAAGGUAGCGAAAUUCCUUGUCGGGUAAGUUCCGACCUGCACGAAUGGCGUAAUGAUGGCCAGGCUGUCUCCACCCGAGACUCAGUGAAAUUGAACUCGCUGUGAAGAUGCAGUGUACCCGCGGCAAGACGGAAAGACCCCGUGAACCUUUACUAUAGCUUGACACUGAACAUUGAGCCUUGAUGUGUAGGAUAGGUGGGAGGCUUUGAAGUGUGGACGCCAGUCUGCAUGGAGCCGGCCUUGAAAUACCACCCUUUAAUGUUUGAUGUUCUAACGUGGACCCGUGAUCCGGGUUGCGGACAGUGUCUGGUGGGUAGUUUGACUGGGGCGGUCUCCUCCUAAAGAGUAACGGAGGAGCACGAAGGUUGGCUAAUCCUGGUCGGACAUCAGGAGGUUAGUGCAAUGGCAUAAGCCAGCUUGACUGCGAGCGUGACGGCGCGAGCAGGUGCGAAAGCAGGUCAUAGUGAUCCGGUGGUUCUGAAUGGAAGGGCCAUCGCUCAACGGAUAAAAGGUACUCCGGGGAUAACAGGCUGAUACCGCCCAAGAGUUCAUAUCGACGGCGGUGUUUGGCACCUCGAUGUCGGCUCAUCACAUCCUGGGGCUGAAGUAGGUCCCAAGGGUAUGGCUGUUCGCCAUUUAAAGUGGUACGCGAGCUGGGUUUAGAACGUCGUGAGACAGUUCGGUCCCUAUCUGCCGUGGGCGCUGGAGAACUGAGGGGGCUGCUCCUAGUACGAGAGGACCGGAGUGGACGCAUCACUGGUGUUCGGGUUGUCAUGCCAAUGGCACUGCCCGGUAGCUAAAUGCGGAAGAGAUAAGUGCUGAAAGCAUCUAAGCACGAAACUUGCCCCGAGAUGAGUUCUCCCUGAGACUUAGAGUCUCCUGAAGGAACGUUGAAGACGACGACGUUGAUAGGCCGGGUGUGUAAGCGCAGCGAUGCGUUGAGCUAACCGGUACUAAUGAACCGUGAGGCUUAACCUUACAACGCCGAAG
Molecule: ribosomal RNA, 2925 nt
Filed under: Salmonella enterica subsp. enterica serovar Javiana
Lineage: Bacteria; Pseudomonadati; Pseudomonadota; Gammaproteobacteria; Enterobacterales; Enterobacteriaceae
Description: 23S ribosomal RNA
Rfam family: Bacterial large subunit ribosomal RNA
Source: RNAcentral